RNAcentral lists this ribosomal RNA (546 nucleotides) under uncultured bacterium. Its description in RNAcentral is "bacterial SSU rRNA". It matches the Rfam family "Bacterial small subunit ribosomal RNA", at positions 777 to 1319 of the family's 1533-position model. The record is from RNAcentral.
AAUAGAUACCCAGGUAGUCCACGCCGUAAACGAUGAGUGCUAGGUGUCACGGGCUUUGACCCUCGUGGUGCCGCAGCUAACGCAAUAAGCACUCCGCCUGGGGAGUACGGCCGCAAGGCUAAAACUCAAAGGAAUUGACGGGGGGCCCGCACAAGCGGUGGAGCAUGUGGUUUAAUUCGACGCGACGCGCAGAACCUUACCUGGGCUAGAAAACGUAGGAACCUGGGUGAAAACUCGGGGUGCUCUUCGGAGAAUCUACGGUUAGGUGUUGCAUGGCUGUCGUCAGCUCGUGUCGUGAGAUGUUGGGUUAAGUCCCGCAACGAGCGCAACCCUUGUCGUUAGUUGCCAGCAUUGAGUUGGGCACUCUAACGAGACUGCCGACUUUCAAGUCGGAGGAAGGUGGGGAUGACGUCAAGUCCUCAUGGCCCCUAUGUCCAGGGCUACACACGUGCUACAAUGGUCGGUACAAAGGGCUGCGAAACCGCGAGGUGGAGCCAAUCCCAAAAAACCGGCCUCAGUACGGAUUGGAGUCUGCAACUCGACUCC